ACUCCUACGGGAGGCAGCAGUGGGGAAUAUUGCACAAUGGGCGCAAGCCUGAUGCAGCAACGCCGCGUGAGGGACGACGGCCUUCGGGUUGUAAACCUCUUUUAGUAGGGAAGAAGCGAAAGUGACGGUACCUGCAGAAAAAGCACCGGCUAACUACGUGCCAGCAGCCGCGGUAAUACGUAGGGUGCAAGCGUUAUCCGGAAUUAUUGGGCGUAAAGAGCUCGUAGGCGGUCUGUCGCGUCUGCUGUGAAAACUGGGGGCUCAACCCCCAGCCUGCAGUGGGUACGGGCAGACUAGAGUGCGGUAGGGGAGAUUGGAACUCCUGGUGUAGCGGUGGAAUGCGCAGAUAUCAGGAAGAACACCGAUGGCGAAGGCAGAUCUCUGGGCCGUAACUGACGCUGAGGAGCGAAAGCAUGGGGAGCGAACAGGAUUAGAUACCCUGGUAGUCCAUGCCGUAAACGUUGGGAACUAGAUGUAGGGACCAUUCCACGGUUUCUGUGUCGCAGCUAACGCAUUAAGUUCCCCGCCUGGGGAGUACGGCCGCAAGGCUAAAACUCAAAGGAAUUGACGGGGGCCCGCACAAGCGGCGGAGCAUGCGGAUUAAUUCGAUGCAACGCGAAGAACCUUACCAAGGCUUGACAUAUACCGGAAAAGGCUGGAAACAGUCUCCCCGCAAGGUCGGUAUACAGGUGGUGCAUGGUUGUCGUCAGCUCGUGUCGUGAGAUGUUGGGUUAAGUCCCGCAACGAGCGCAACCCUCGUUCUAUGUUGCCAGCACGUAAUGGUGGGAACUCAUAGGAGACUGCCGGGGUCAACUCGGA
This 819-nucleotide ribosomal RNA is filed under the name uncultured Actinomycetes bacterium. Its description in RNAcentral is "bacterial SSU rRNA". It matches the Rfam family "Bacterial small subunit ribosomal RNA", at positions 335 to 1167 of the family's 1533-position model. The record is from RNAcentral. Lineage: Bacteria; Bacillati; Actinomycetota; Actinomycetes.